GCGUGAGUGAUGAAGGCCUUCGGGUUGUAAAGCUCUUUUGGCGGGGACGAUGAUGACGGUACCCGCAGAAUAAGCCCCGGCUAACUUCGUGCCAGCAGCCGCGGUAAUACGAAGGGGGCAAGCGUUGUUCGGAAUUACUGGGCGUAAAGGGCGCGUAGGCGGCUUACCAAGUCAGGCGUGAAAUUCCCGGGCUCAACCUGGGGGCUGCGCUUGAUACUGGUGAGCUUGAAUGCGGGAGAGGAUAGUGGAAUUCCCAGUGUAGAGGUGAAAUUCGU
RNAcentral lists this ribosomal RNA (275 nucleotides) under uncultured bacterium. Its description in RNAcentral is "partial 16S ribosomal RNA". It matches the Rfam family "Bacterial small subunit ribosomal RNA", at positions 399 to 691 of the family's 1533-position model. The record is from RNAcentral.